This is a long non-coding RNA of Bos grunniens (domestic yak), 3753 nucleotides long. The record is from Ensembl. Lineage: Eukaryota; Metazoa; Chordata; Mammalia; Artiodactyla; Bovidae.
UUUUUUUUUAAUUCGCCUUUCCAUCUCUCUCCACCACCACCAUCCCCAAAAAAGAAGCCGAAAAAACUCCAAAGUGGCCCGAAUGUGUGCUGCUGCUGGCUCUGAAGCCGUGUAGAAUUUCGUAAUGGAAUGUGAACUGCUCGUCCGGAUCUGGGCUCACGUUCUAUCUUCUAACCAGUAAGGAGCCAGGCAGGGCAAAUGUGCUGAGCAAGGAGAAAUACUUUUCUCCUCUUUUAUAACCCAUCACGGAUGCACCGCGGACGCGGGACGCGAGUUGCACGCGGCGCCUGUCAACCGGCCCGCCCGCCGACCGGUCCCCGCGCCCGGGGGGGCGUCCUCCGCUGCCCCCCACCCACACAUCGCCCUACCCCCGGACCCCCGGCCCGUCCGAAAAGCAAAGUGGCCCCGCCGAAGAGUGGACUGGACCAGCGCGCCCCGCACUCACGCGCCUCCCCGGGCCCGGCGGGCGGCGGGGAGCGAGCCCUCCCAUCCUCGACGCGACCCUCGGCCCGGUCCAGAGAACGCGCCGCUCCCAGGGAGGGGGCCGGCGACAGGAAGGACCUCCCCUGCUCCUUAGCAACCAUUAAGGUCGCAGUUUCCUAAGAGACCGCGAGCGAGGAGGUGGGGGGCGGGUGGGCGCGGGGGGCCGGGCCGAGGAGGAGGGGGGCGCGCGGGGGGCGCACUGGGUCCCCCAGCCCCUGGACGCCAGGUCCUCCCCCACCCCCGCAUCCCGGCCUUGCUGGACGCUACGGGGCUGGGAUGGGAGGAGGCAGGGAAACCCCACAACUCGGCAAAAAAAAAAAAAAAUUGGUCCAGCGGGCUGCGGACAAAAGUUUCCGAGCGCGCUCCACAGCUGGGCGGCGAAGCGGGCCCCGGCGGCCCCGCCUCGGAUGCUCCCGGCCUCCUUCCUGUGCUCGUGACGGCGCCGGGCGCCGAGGUCCCCCGCGAUGCAGGCUCCGCUCCACACCGAUGGCUCCCACGAAAACACGUACACCGCCAGCGGAAAGGCCAGAGAACAAUACGCGCGGACGCGCCCCCCCGCCCCUCGCGCGGUCACCCGGGGCGCGGUGGUUGGGUGGGGGGGGGCGCGAUGGUCGGCGUGACCAGCAGCCACGAGCCGGGAGCGGCGAAGGCGCAGGGCCCCCUCCGGGGCCGGCGCCGUCCGCCGGAGACGAUCAAAGUCCGCAGCGCAGGGCGCGGCGGAUGCUUCCCACCGCGCGGUACCCCCCCACCCCCAGCGAGCACCCACCCCCACCCCCGAGCGUGGAACCCCCCGAGCGUGGCACCCCCGGAUACCUGGCGGCGGCGGCGGCGGCGGCGGGCGGGCGGGCGCCGUCAUCUCCGCGCUCCUCUCGGCCCGAGAGGGACUCGAAAGUAUGUAGGAGAAGAGUUUCCCCUCCCACAUGGGGAGGAGGGAUGUCGGGGGAGAGAGAGAGAGAGAGGGCGGAAGAUGGAGAACUGCGCUGGGAAGAUGUCUCUGGCCGGCCGGGCGCGCACCCUCCGAGUCCCCCCGGCGGGGCUCGGUUAAAAAUAAAUGCGGCGGCGGGCGCGGCGGCGCGGGUCGGGCCGGAUUCCUGCGCUCGGACGGCUAAUAUGGAUGCGCAUCAGGUCCCCCGGCGGUGGGGCGCUGCGGCCGGCGGCUCGCGCUGGGAGCUGGUUGGCAGAGCCGGCGGCUCGGGAAGGGAAAGGAGCGGAGGAAGGGAGGAGGAGGAGGAGGAGGAGGAGGAGGAGGAGGAGGAGGAGGGAGGACGCGGGAGGAGGAGCGGCCCGGCGCGCAGCAGCCCGAGGGGCGAGGGCUGCCUGGCUCAUCCCACGCCGGCCCCCGAGCGCACGCAGCGCCGCGGCCGUGGGGUGCGGUGGGGGUGGCUCCUGGGUCCUCGCGGCCCCUGGGGAGACGCGGAGUUCGAAAAGUGCGGCGCGCCCUGCGCAGACCUCACCCUCCCACAUCCCCAAAAGUUCUUCGAAAGGUCGCCGCUCCCGGCUCAGCCCCGGAUACCUGGCGGCGGCGGCGGCGGCGGCGGCGGGCGGGCGCCGUCAUCUCCGCGCUCCUCUCGGCCCGAGAGGGACUCGAAAGUAUGUAGGAGAAGAGUUUCCUCCCACAUGGGGAGGAGGGAUGUCGGGGAGAGAGAGAGAGAGGGCGGAAGAUGGAGAACUGCGCUGGGAAGAUGUCUCUGGCCGGCCGGGCGCGCACCUCCGAGUCCCCGGCGGGGCUCGGUUAAAAUAAAUGCGGCGGCGGGCGCGGCGGCGCGGGUCGGGCCGGAUUCCUGCGCUCGGACGGCUAAUAUGGAUGCGCAUCAGGUCCCCCGGCGGUGGGGCGCUGCGGCCGGCGGCUCGCGCUGGGAGCUGGUUGGCAGAGCCGGCGGCUCGGGAAGGGGAAAGGGAGCGGAGGAAGGGGAGGAGGAGGAGGGAGGAGGGGGGAGGAGGGGGGAGGACGCGGGGAGGAGGAGCGGCCCGGCGCGCAGCAGCCCGAGGGGCGAGGGCUGCCCGGCUCAUCCCACGCCGGCCCCCCGAGCGCACGCAGCGCCGCGGCCGUGGGGUGCGGUGGGGGGGUGGCUCCUGGGUCCUCGCGGCCCCUGGGGGAGACGCGGAGUUCGAAAAGUGCGGCGCGCCCUGCGCAGACCUCACCCUCCCCACAUCCCCAAAAGUUCUUCGGAAAGGUCGCCGCUCCCGGCUCAGCCCCGGACAUCUCGCGGCCGCCCGAGGGACCGCGAGCCGGAACGCCCGGGGGCGCGAACUCACGGCCAGGCCAGGGCGCUGGGGGCUCCCGGGCGAGGACGCCGAGGGGACCGGUGGGCUGCGGGAAGGGAUCGAGCAGAGAUGCAAACUUGUUCCGGAAAAGGAAUCAAAAUGGCGUUUCUGGAUGUGCAAAGUUCAUCAACUCCGCAGUCGCUUCCCCCCCCUCCCCGCUCCGCUUCGCCCCGCGGGGAGGGAGGUGGGCGAGGAGCUGGCGACCCCGGCGCCCCGGCCGCCGUCGUGGCCCCCGCCCCGGCCCCCCGCCCCGCUUGCCCGCCCGCACGCUCGGAGCCCCGCUCUCCCCCUCUCACCCUGAUAAGUAGACACAUCACGUGUUGCUCCUGCGCGUCUCCUGGGGACGUGUUACUGAGCGGCGGCGGCGGCGGCGGCGGCGGCUGCGGCGCUCCGGCCGGGGGUCGGGUGGGGGGGGGGGUGCGGAUCCCGACCCCCGCCGCAGCCCCCCGCCCCGAUCUUAGUGGGGUGACUGCAGUCUCCAUCUCCGGGAUGGAGGGACGCUGCAGUCCCCCACCCCACCCCCACCGCAGCCCCAGGUUGGCCCCCACGCCCUCCGCGGGCGCCGCCGGGGCCCCAGGGGGGAAGAGGGUUUGGGCCGCCCCCCACCCCGGGGAAGGGUCUCGGCGGCGGAGGCCGCGCUCGGGCCGGGGGUUCGGGGAGACUGCGGGCCCCGCCGCAGCCCCUCGCCCCGAUUUUAGCGGGCUGACUGCAGUCUCCAUCCCCGGGAUGGCGGGACACUGCAGCCCCCCACCGCAGCCCCAGGUUGGCCCCCACGCCCUCCGCGGUGCCUCCGGGGGCCCAGCGAGAGGAGGGCUUGGGCCGCCCUCCCCUCCCCCAUCCCCGGGGGAAGGGUCUCGGGGGCGGCGGCCGAGCGCGAUGCGACCUGCGCGGCGUUCUUUGCGGGCGAGCCACCUUCAUGGACCACCGCGCGCCCCCCCUCCCCACCCCCGCCCCCCACCCUUUGGCUCAAGAGGAUCAAUCAUGGGCGAAAGUGACAGGAAAUAA